UAGAGGGGUAAUCCACACUCUACUAAGAAAGAACUAGCUCUGAUAUCUCAAGUUAGUGUAGUCUCGACAAACUGUCACGGACACAAAAUACACACUUAAAAUCUAACAAGAAGUUCAAGAAGAAGUUGCAGAACUAGAUUAAACAGAUGAGUACAAGAACAACACCAGAAAGGUGAGCUAGAACUCCAAGAGAUGUGUUGUC
RNAcentral lists this long non-coding RNA (202 nucleotides) under Physcomitrium patens. RNAcentral's name for it is "long non-coding RNA (PPAT_LNC013299)". The record is from RNAcentral. Lineage: Eukaryota; Viridiplantae; Streptophyta; Bryopsida; Funariales; Funariaceae.